Magnolia sinica is the source of this 2959-nucleotide long non-coding RNA. RefSeq lists it as uncharacterized. NCBI's taxonomy places the organism in Eukaryota, Viridiplantae, Streptophyta, Magnoliopsida, Magnoliales, Magnoliaceae. The transcript is spliced from 7 exons. The record is from RefSeq and is a predicted model, not a curated record.
UCUCGUUUUUCUCCUCUUCCCUUUUCUUCUCAUUUCUUCCAAAGCUCUUCACAUUUCAUAAUCCCCCUCUUUUUCUCUCAAAUCUCAAAAAAUCAAAGCCUAGAUUUGGGACACCGCCGGUCAAGAAAGGUGAGAGCCCCUUCCCAAGAUUUCCAAAUUCUCUCAGAUCUCAAUUUGUGAAUGUUAGGGUUUCCAGAUUGGAACUCUGCCCUACAACCACCGUCUGCUACAACUCCAGUAGCUACCCACCACCACCGACCUGGAUCAACACUCCAACUACCCUACCACAACCCCGAUUCCCUCGCUCCCUCCCUCUCUCUCGCUCUCUCUCUCAUGUUGGGCGGUCUUUUUCCUGCCGAAAACAAUUUCAGCGACCAUCAUCCAUCUUGCACUAGUGACAGGUUCAAUACCCUCGUGCUGGCAGCAAAGCAAGCAUCCUGGAAAGUGGUCCACUGCAGGCCCUAUCAAGAGUCUCAUUGACACGUGCACUAAGAGUGUGGGAGAACUUCAAUCAAAUUUCAGCAAAGAAGUUGUAUAUGAGAGAAGGUAUAUGGUAGAGAAGUGAUUCGAGCUUGGGUCUUAAGAGAUGGCGUUUCAACCACCGGUUUGGUACUGUUAGCCUGUGGAGAAUGGAUUCUGGUUGAAGGCAGUUGAGAAUGCCUUUGGCUCUUAUACUCCCUGCAGCAUGGAUACUUUGGUGGUUUGCAUCUCCAAUUUGGUUCUUAUAUGUUUAUGUUGUUACCGGGUGUGGUGGAUCAGGAAGGACACAAGUGUCCAGAGAUUCCGUUUGAGGAUCAGCAAGGUGUGGAGCCAUUAUCCCUUUGAUCUGCUUGAGAUGUCUGGUUGUGAAGACUUUGGCCUCAUCCAAAACAGCUUCUCCUAUAAAUCCAAGGUGUGAUGCUUCAUACAAGCUCAGCAUUCCCUUUAUGUCCUCGCUAAGGCAUGACUUGAAACUACGCUUGUCGUCCAUGAAGCUAUUGAACACAUCUGUUACAUUACACCAUCAAAUGAAUGCUUUGCUCAAAAUUUCAGGCUGCAUUUGGAUACACUAUUGAAUUGGAUUGUGAUAGUUAGUUCACUUACACUGCAUUUGGAUGCAUUGUGGAAUCGAGUUGCUCAAUUAUUUCAGUAAUAGUAAAUAACCAGAUUGAAACUACCUCCUUGAGGAACAAAGCUCCAAAUCACGGCCAUGUAGUUCUCAAGUCGGACUUGCAAAGGAACGUAACUUUAAUUUGUCUAUUUCUCUCUAGCCCAUGAAUUGGUGUUCAAUUCAUUAGUACAUCCAAACAUGGCCUUAUGCAAUGUUUCGAUGCACUAUUGAAUUGACUUGCAACAGUUAUUCUGAUAAUGUAGAAAAGUAUCCCUACUUAAGUACUAAGCUCCAAAAUGCAGCAAUGUUAAUUUCAAGUUGGAGAUGAAAGGAAUGUAAUUGCAAUUUGAAGGGUUACCUGGCAAUUCAGUUCUGUUCGCUUCUAAACGCAACCCAAGUGGAAAUAUCCAAAUUGCAAUUACUGUUACUCGAAGUUGUACUAUUCAAUUUUGGAAUUGUAUUUAGAAAAUUUCGCAAUUGAAACUUAAACUUCAUUAGCCAACGAAUCAUCAAAUUGCAAUUUGUCUUCGUAUGUGUUUAGCUUGUACAAUAUGCCUUGGUUGGGAAGGUUGUCGUGCUUAAUCUUGUCCUAUCAGUCAAAGAAUACUAUAACAAGUGAGUUCUGUUCUCAGUCAUUUGGUUUAGUUGCUAAAGCUACAUUGUUCUAUUAUCUUUAAUGUAAUAAUUUUAUUAUUUUAAUUGUAUGUAGAAAGAUGCCAAAAGCAACCAUGAACUAAUUUUAUUAUUUUAGUUGUAUGUAGAAAGAUGCCAAAAGCAACCAUGAAUAUGAAGCUGUUUUUAUUUAUAUUUUCUGCUAGUCUCCACCAUUCAUUGUGUGGAGUGAUUGCUGAAUUGAGCAAGCAUAUAGAUCCAACACAAUGUGUUUGCUAGAAGAUACUCUAGUGCUGGAUGUCUUCCUGCAAGGUACUUGGAAGAGGAAUUUUGGCAUGAAAUAGCUUGUGGAAAGACAGAAACUGUUGACAACCCAUGGUGCCUUUACUUCUCGAGAUAGUGAACCUAUUGGCAAUUCCUGCUGGUAUUAAUCAAAAUGCCAUUGUUCAGAAGUGGCAAUGUGGAUGGAUGGCAUGAUCUCCACUGGAGUAACAAGGAAUUACAUAUAGUUGCUAGUAACCAAACCCAAUGGUAAGUUACCAAUUCAAUGGUCAGUAUCAUUUGUAUGCGUAUGAUGUUGUGUCCAUUUUUCUGCCUCACUUGAGAACUGAUUAGUCUUGUUAAGCUUCAUUAGUGAAUAGCAUAUCAUUUUAUUCAUUAUAAUUAUGAUUAGAAGCUAGCUAGUAAUUCAAUUUGUUUGCAAUUCAAUGUCACUUUAUCAGAAAUUGUUAUUGUUUUCACGGUUUAUUUUACUCGGCAAUUUAGAAUGACUCAUACAGUUCUAACCAAUAAAAUUUCUACUCUAUUUGGCCAUUUUCAGGGGGUGGUAUCCGACCACUAAUGAUUUUGGAUUGGAGAAUUCCAUGGGCUGCUAAAGAUUAUAAUGUUCAGGUAACUUACUCCUCAAGAUGCAUAUCCACCUCAGGGCAUAGGGGCUGUUUGCUGUGGACCGUGGCAUAUCUUUUCAAUCGCUAUUGGGAAGACAUCGGAACAAUAAAAUCAUUUUUUGAUGCAAAUUUGGCACUCACUGAUCAGCCUCCCAGGUUUCACUUUUAUGAUCCAUUGAAGCCAAUCUUCACAUCUCCUCGAUUUCUACCACCAAGUAAAAUAGAAAAGUGCCAUGUAUGAUCUUCUUUACUGCUCCUGCUGCUGAGGUUAGACUGUCUUAAUGAGGGAGUUUACCUGUCCCGAUCGAUUUGUACACACCUAUUUUUGGCUUGGCAAUUAAAACAGAAUAGUAGUUUAAUACGUCCCAAA